This 668-nucleotide ribosomal RNA is filed under the name Oceanobacillus oncorhynchi subsp. incaldanensis. RNAcentral's name for it is "bacterial SSU rRNA". It matches the Rfam family "Bacterial small subunit ribosomal RNA", at positions 71 to 720 of the family's 1533-position model. Lineage: Bacteria; Bacillati; Bacillota; Bacilli; Caryophanales; Bacillaceae. The record is from RNAcentral.
AACUCUUCGGAGGGAAGUUCGUGGAACGAGCGGCGGACGGGUGAGUAACACGUAGGCAACCUGCCUGUAAGACUGGGAUAACUCGCGGAAACGCGAGCUAAUACCGGAUAACACUUUCUAUCACCUGAUGGAAAGUUGAAAGGCGGCUUUUGCUGUCACUUACAGAUGGGCCUGCGGCGCAUUAGCUAGUUGGUGAGGUAACGGCUCACCAAGGCGACGAUGCGUAGCCGACCUGAGAGGGUGAUCGGCCACACUGGGACUGAGACACGGCCCAGACUCCUACGGGAGGCAGCAGUAGGGAAUCUUCCGCAAUGGACGAAAGUCUGACGGAGCAACGCCGCGUGAGUGAUGAAGGUUUUCGGAUCGUAAAACUCUGUUGUCAGGGAAGAACAAGUACGAUAGUAACUGAUCGUACCUUGACGGUACCUGACCAGAAAGCCACGGCUAACUACGUGCCAGCAGCCGCGGUAAUACGUAGGUGGCAAGCGUUGUCCGGAAUUAUUGGGCGUAAAGCGCUCGCAGGCGGUUCUUUAAGUCUGAUGUGAAAUCUUGCGGCUCAACCGCAAACGUGCAUUGGAAACUGGAGGACUUGAGUGCAGAAGAGGAGAGUGGAAUUCCACGUGUAGCGGUGAAAUGCGUAGAGAUGUGGAGGAACACCAGUGGCGAAG